UACACAUCGCCCGUCACUCUCCCCUAGCGAGACAAGCAAGGGGAGAAAAGUCGUAACAAAAUAGGCGCACCGGAAGGUGCGCCUGGUUAAC
This 91-nucleotide ribosomal RNA is filed under the name Zenocentrotus kellersi. RNAcentral describes it as "partial 12S ribosomal RNA". It matches the Rfam family "Bacterial small subunit ribosomal RNA", at positions 1384 to 1526 of the family's 1533-position model. Lineage: Eukaryota; Metazoa; Echinodermata; Echinoidea; Camarodonta; Echinometridae. The record is from RNAcentral.